GACGAACGCUGGCGGCGUGCUUAACACAUGCAAGUCGAACGCUGAAGCUCAGCUUGCUGGGUGGAUGAGUGGCGAACGGGUGAGUAACACGUGAGUAACCUGCCCUCUUCUUUGGGAUAACGCCCGGAAACGGGUGCUAAUACUGGAUAUUCACUGAUUCUCGCAUGGGGGUUGGUGGAAAGGUUUUUUCUGGUGGGGGAUGGGCUCGCGGCCUAUCAGCUUGUUGGUGGGGUGAUGGCCUACCAAGGCUUUGACGGGUAGCCGGCCUGAGAGGGUGACCGGUCGCAUUGGGACUGAGAUACGGCCCAGACUACUACGGGAGGCAGCAGUGGGGAAGAUUGCACAAUGGGCGAAAGCCGGAUGCAGCGACGCCGCGUGAGGGAUGGAGGCCUUCGGGUUGUAAACCUCUUUCGCUCAUGGUCAAGCCGCAGCUUUGGGUUGUGGUGAGGGUAGUGGGUAAAGAAGCGCCGGCUAACUACGUG
RNAcentral lists this ribosomal RNA (482 nucleotides) under uncultured bacterium. Its description in RNAcentral is "partial 16S ribosomal RNA". It matches the Rfam family "Bacterial small subunit ribosomal RNA", at positions 28 to 507 of the family's 1533-position model. The record is from RNAcentral.